Long non-coding RNA from Oncorhynchus tshawytscha (Chinook salmon), 4004 nucleotides. Lineage: Eukaryota; Metazoa; Chordata; Actinopteri; Salmoniformes; Salmonidae. The record is from Ensembl.
CCAUUGGUUUAUAUUUAUUGUCCUGUAUAUAAUAACUGGUAAACUACAACUAAGUGACUUUUAUACAAUUCAAAGGUUUAGCAUUGUACUCUUAAUAACGAAACAUGUUUAGAUUAUUGAAGGUAACACAGAAUGAGUGACAGGAGGCUUGACAAAUGGGAAGGAAGACAGGGUCUCUGGUUGCAUCAUCACCAGCAGCUGUCCCAGCUAGCACAUUUGGUUCCUUGGAAGCUGUGGGAACGUACAUUUUAAGUAGUUAAGAUUCCUGACGGUUAAAACAAAAACGUUUUGUAUUACUUUCUGAGAAUAGAAGUGAAAACUUAGCCUGUUCUGGGCACGUUAAUAUUUAGGUUGCAGGGUUCCCCUGAAAGCCAGCCUGGGAGUUUUUUUAUUAACAUUCUGAGAAUGGAAAUUCAAGGAUAUUUUGAAGGUAAUUAAAUAACGUUCUGAGAACAUGUUUCAGUAAGACUUUUAAUAACGCUGCUAGUUUAGUUUGGGUUAACUGUUAUGAACUCCCAGCACAGAUAGGACACAUGGACAGUUAUUUUUCUGGGCAUUAAAUCAUGCAAACACAUUCCUUUUUUAUUGUGGCAUGUGAGAUUCAAACCUAUGAUCUUCUGUUCUCUAUCCAUGGAAUUAGUCCACAGCUCCACCAAGAUGGAGCUAGCAUGCCAUGUUAAAAAGAAAAACUCAAACAAACCUGUUCAUUUUAGUCUUUACAAACAGACCCUAGUUAUUUCUCAACGUUCUGUGAACGUGACUUUAAAUAGAACCGUGAAGAAACCUGUAGAAAACAUUUUUGCUGAAGUACUGAAAUUCCCACAGAAGAAUGUUAUAAAACUGUAGUAAAAAUGUAAUGGGACAGUUGUAUACUAAAUAAACAUAGUACGUUCAAGCUCUAACCAAGCUCUAAGAAACAUAUGGUUUUCAGAACGUUAUGUGCUAGCUGGGGACCUAUCAGCACGGAGACAGGGAACAUGAUUGACAUCAAGUGGGACUACCUGUGUCUGGGUGCAAGCGUUUUGCUAGCUGGGGCAUUUGCCACAUACAGAGUUUAGGUGACCCACUGGCUUGUAAAACAAGCAGACCCUCUGUCUUUGACCUCAUGUCAGGUCAGAGCCGGUUACCAGGACACCUCUGGUUAAAAGCAGGGUGUAGGGGAUAGAUUAGCCUUAUACAGCAGGGGCAAUGUGAUUGGUAACACCGACCACAAACUCGCCCAAUCAAAACACCUUUGUCUGCAGAGAGCCAAUCCAGGACUGGUUUAUGAGUUCGACAGUAGGAGUUGGUAGAAGUGGAGCUUUGGAGCCCUGCAGAAUAACAGCCCCUCUAAGACUGUAACUAGGCAUCCCCUGCACCAGGAGACAGACAGACAGGUAACAGCCCCUCUAAGACUGUAACUAGGCAUCCCCUGCACCAGGAGACAGACAGACAGGUAACAGUCCCCCUAAGACUGUAACUAGGCAUCCCCUGCACCAGGAGACAGACAGGUAACAGCCCCUCUAAGACUGUAACUAGGCAUCCCCUGCACCAGGAGACAGACAGUCAGGUAACAGCCCCUCUAAGACUGUAACUAGGCAUCCCCUGCACCAGGAGACAGACAGACAGGUAACAGCCCCUCUAAGACUGUAACUAGGCAUCCCCUGCACCAGGAGACAGACAGACAGGUAACAGUCCCUCUAAGUAACCCUGUGUAAGAGCAUUAUACAUCAAGGGAUUGAAAACCCGGUCCCCAUAGCAACAAGCUAUUAAAGGAAGCAGAAGUUUUCAUGACAAAAAAAAGGAUUUGGGUUAAAACAAUUGACGUUCUGUUUGUUCAUAGAUGAAAACGUGUUCAUAUGCAGCAAUUCUAUCUCCCAUUAAAUAUUAAGAUCUCAACAACACGGUUCUUCAAAGUGUUUUUAAAAACAUUCGAUGAGACAAAAAAACAAAUAAAUAAUCAAAUAAAUAAACAAAUAAAUAACAUAAGAAAUAGAUAAAUAAUUGGAAUAAAUAACUGAACAAAUAGCUGUGGAUAAAAGAUAGACCCACAUGAUCGCAUGGAUGCUUUUGCAGAAAAUAUCUUUAGAAAGAGCAUCUUUCCAGAGCGACUUCACAUCACUGGUCAUUGAGCAAGAGGUCUGGACAUAAUAAAUAGUGGAAUAAGGAAGAGAGGAAAAAGUACAUGAUAAUCAAACAUCUGUCCCUUGUUUUUUUUUUGCCUCAGUGUGUGAUUACAGGUCAGGAAUGUCAGGGCCAUGUUCGGUAACAAAAUGUUCUCGAUCGUUUCAGAUAUAAAUACCACAAAUAGGGCCGACGUGAUUCCUUAUUCUACAUCUCAGAGAUCCAUGUUUGUUCUACAUAGCAUACUUCUAUCUGAAUGUGCCCCAAGUCAGAAUAGGGGCAGGGACAGAUGCACCCUGGGACCUGUAGUCCUAUAAUGGCAGGGGGAGGGACAGAUGCACCCUGGGACCUGUAGUCCUGUAGUGGCAGGGGCAGGGACAGAUGCACCCUGGGACCUGUAGCCAUGUAGUGGCAGGGGCAGGGACAGAUGCACCCUGGGACCUGUAGUCCUGUAAUGGCAGGGGCAGGGACAGAUGCACCCUGGGACCUGUAGUCCUGUAGUGGCAGGGGCAGGGACAGAUGCACCCUGGGACCUGUAGUCCUGUAAUAGCAGGUGCAGGGACUGAUGCACCCUGGGACCUGUAGUCCUGUGGUGGCAGGGGCAGGGACAGAUGCACCCUGGGACCUGUAGUCCUGUAGUGGCAGGGGCAGGGACAGAUGCACCCUGGGACCUGUAGUCCUGUAGUCGCAGGCAGCUCUCUGGUACAAGCAGCAGUCUUCCUCCUUUCUGUUGCAUCAUCAUGCGAAGUCACCAUCAAAUAACAAGCCUCUUCCAAAAAAAAUCACAUAGAAUAUACAGUGCAUAGUUUACAAGCCAGAACUUACAGUUUAGAAUCAUCUAUACAUCCUGAUAUAUCAGUUCCCUUCUGCAUGCUAAAUCAUCAGCCAUCUUUUCUUUUGUUCUUUAUCGCAUCUGUUUUGAUCUCUCUGGUUCCUAAGCAUAAGUGUCUUUGGGGAAAUUACGUCAUGACAUUGGAGGAAGAAUUUCCCAGUGCUGUUUGAUUUGAUUUGAUUUCUUUCACUUGUAUCUCUUCUUUUCAUCUUCUUUGACAAACUCCGUGGAAGUGUCCCAAUGCUGGAACAUUUUUUUUUUUUUUGGGGGGUUUACUUUUGCUAUGCAGAAACAUAUAGAGAAAGUGCUUACAGAAUAGUUCUUUAUCAAUUAUUUUCUAAAAGCAUGAUCUGAAAAAUGUUAUUUUAAAUUGUGCCUGUGUGAAGACAAAUGGAUAUUUCAGAUCCAGGCUCUGGUUAACGCUGGUAUUCAGAGAUGGAGACUGAGGAUGGUAGAAAAAACAGAGAAGGUCUGACCCUGUGUUUGGACCAAUCAGGGACGCAUAACAUGAUUUAUCUCCCUCCCCCUCUCUCUCCCUCAAUCUCUCCUGCUGUUCUCCCCCAUCUAUCUCUCUCUCUCUCCCCCCCCAACUCCCCCUCUCUCUGUCUCUCUCUCAUCAGAAGCCGGGGCUUUCAUAGCUGCUGCGACUGUAGUUGCUGUGGCUCCUGGGGCUGCGUGAGCGGCUGUGGCUCCUGGGGCUGCGUGAGCGGCUGUGGCUCCUGGUGUGGCUGUGACUGCAGCUGUAGCUGCGGCUGCGACUCCUCCCUGAAUGGGAGGGGCUUGACAUGGAACUGGAGGAGGAAGGGCUGGGGCGGUAGUACGGGAUAGGCCGCUUCCGAGCGCUGAGGAGAGGAGAGGGUAGGAGAUUAGACAGUACAUAAAGCUCUUGUAGGAGUUAGUUAGUGUGAGGAGGACCAGCACAUUGACAGCUGACCAGAGAGCGUGUUUUCUUGUCUCGGUUACAGUAUGGUCCAGUAGGAAUGCUUUACGUUUUGCAACAUAAUCCAUUUUUGAAAUACUCUCAGAAUUUAAAUAUCAAAUGUAUUUAAAAAAAUAUAUGUAUAAAUAA